AGCUGAUAAUCAUUAGGCUGUAGCAAGACCAACUGGGUUGCAUUUGUUGAUCUUAAUGUAACAAAAUUACAUGGCAAAGGAGGGCUCGAUCUUUCAAAUAACCUGGCCUUCAGACACCUUUGCAUCUGGACAGAGAAGAUGGAUGAUGUAGAAGGAAAGGUGAAAGAGGUGAACAGAAGGAGAAGAAACAGGAAUGGAGCAAAGCAUCUCUGCAGCAAUCGAGGCUGAUGCUCCCUUGCAGAACGGCUUCUUUGCCUCUCCAUUUUAUUUGUGGAACUCAAGGAGGCAUGCUUGUGGGUUCUAGGUGAUCUCCAGCAACGUGGUGGCCUCGUGCCUCCAGACCACACCCUAUAUACUCAGACUCAUAUGCACUUACCCUUUUGAACUCUCUCCUGUUUACACAUCAGACGGAUGCCAUCUCUGUUGUCUUUUUGGCGCUUUUCGAAGCCUUUCUUUUUUCAGCAAGUGGAGAUAAAGUUCCCAGUGUGCAUCUGUAUUAGAGCUGACAUUAUUUUGACAUAUGAAAGUUGUUUUAAUUGUUUUUAUAUAUGGAGUUUUUAAUUGUUUGUGCAUAUGGAAUAGUUUUUACAUAUGGAAUUGUUUUUAUUGUUGAUACUCUUGUUUUGAAAUCGCUUUGAAAUCGUUUAUGGGAGGCGAUUCAUAAAUGGAACCGAAUGAAUGAA
This is a long non-coding RNA of Rhineura floridana, 683 nucleotides long. RefSeq lists it as uncharacterized. The transcript has 3 exons. Lineage: Eukaryota; Metazoa; Chordata; Lepidosauria; Squamata; Rhineuridae. The record is from RefSeq and is a predicted model, not a curated record.